AGAGCGCAGGGUGGAUGCCUUGGCACUAAGAGCCGAUGAAAGACGUGAUAAGCUGCGAUAAGCUACGGGGAGGAGCACAUAUCCAUUGAUCCGUAGAUUUCUGAAUGGGGAAACCCGGCUGAGCAUACCUCAGUCACCGUGCACUGAAUCCAUAGGUGUACGGAGGGAACCCGGUGAACUGAAACAUCUAAGUAGCCGGAGGAAGAGAAAGAAAACUCGAUUUUCAAAGUAGCGGCGAGCGAAAUGGAAAGAGCCCAAACCGGAGUGCGUGCACUCCGGGGUUCGGACUGCAUUUAUGACUUCUGACUGUAGCGGAACGGUUCUGGAAAGACCGGCCAGAGAGGGUGAGAGCCCCGUAGGCGAAACGGAAAGAAGCAGAGCAGGAUCCAGAGUACCACGAGACACGAGAAACCUUGUGGGAAUGAGCGGGGACCACCCCGUAAGGCUAAAUACUCCUUAGUGACCGAUAGAGCAUAGUACUGUGAAGGAAAGGUGAAAAGGACCCCGGGAGGGGAGUGAAAGAGAACCUGAAACCCUGUGUUUACAAACUGUGGAAGUACCAUACGAGUACAACCGCGUACUUUUUGUAGAACGGUCCGGCGAGUUACGUUUACUGGCGAGGUUAAGCACUUAAGGUGCGGAGCCGAAGGGAUACCAAGUCUUAACAGGGCGUAAAGUCAGUGUACGUAGACCCGAAACCGGGUGAUCUACCCAUGUCCAGGCUGAAGUUGCCGUAAAAGGCAAUGGAGGGCCGAACGCACAUCCGUUGAAAAGGGUGGCGAUGAGGUGUGGGUAGGGGAGAAAUUCCAAUCGAACCCGGAGAUAGCUGGUUCUCCUCGAAAUAGCUUUAGGGCUAGCCUCGUGUUAACCUUGUGGAGGUAGAGCACUGAAUUUCCUAGGGGGCGUCAAAGUCUACCGAAGAAUAUCAAACUCCGAAUGCCAUAAAGGUGAUGCACGGGAGUCAGACUGCACGAGAUAAGUUGGGUGGUCAAAAGGGAAAGAGCCCAGACCUACAGCUAAGGUCCCAAAGUGCGUGUUAAGUGGAAAAGGAUGUGGGAUUUCGAAGACAACUAGGAUGUUGGCUCAGAAGCAGCCAUACAUUCAAAGAGUGCGUAAUAGCUCACUAGUCGAGAGGUCCUGCGCCGAAAAUGUCCGGGGCUAAAACACGACACCGAAGCUUAGGAAUGUAGAAAUACAUUGGUAGAGGAGCAUUGUUAGCGCAGCGAAGCUGUACCGAUAAGGAGCAGUGGAGUGCUAAGAAGAGAGAAUGCCGGAAUGAGUAGCGAGAGGAAGGUGAGAAUCCUUCCGGCCGAAUAUCCAAGGUUUCCAGAGUAAAGCUGAUCUGCUCUGGGUAAGUCGGGGCCUAAGGCGAGGUCGAAAGACGUAGUCGAUGGAUAACAGGUGGAGAUUCCUGUACUAUGUGUACCCAGAAAUGUGGGGACGCAUGUGGAGAGCACGAGCCGGGAAAGAGAAGACCGGUACAAGCGGGGUAGGAGUAAGGACAGCAAAUCUUCCUUACAAUCCGAAGACGUAAUGUGGACCGAACCAAAGUAGGGAAGCGUGUGAGCCAUGUGCCAAGAAAAGCCGCUAUUGUGAUACACAUACCCGUACCGUAAACCGACACAGGUGGAUGAGGAGAGAAUCCUAAGGCCGACGGAAGAAGCAUUGUUAAGGAACUCGGCAAAAUGACCCCGUAACUUCGGGAGAAGGGGUGCCCUGUGAAAGCAGGGCCGCAGAGAAUAGGCUCAAGCAACUGUUUAGCAAAAACACAGGUCUAUGCGAAACCGAAAGGUGAGGUAUAUGGGCUGACGCCUGCCCGGUGCUGGAAGGUUAAGAGGAGAAGUCAGGCAACGAAGCUUCGAAUUUAAGCCCCAGUAAACGGCGGCCGUAACUAUAACGGUCCUAAGGUAGCGAAAUUCCUUGUCGGGUAAGUUCCGACCCGCACGAAAGGCGUAAUGAUUUGAGCACUGUCUCGACAAUGCAUCCGGUGAAAUUGAAGUACCAGUGAAGAUGCUGGUUACCUGCGCCAGGACGGAAAGACCCCAUGGAGCUUUACUCCAGCUUGAUACUGGGAUUCGAUACUGUAUGUACAGGAUAGGUGGGAGACGUUGAGCAUAGAACGCCAGUUUUAUGUGAGUCGCUGUUGGGAUACCACCCUUGCAGUAUUGGAUUUCUAACCUGCACCCAUGACCUGGGUGGGGGACAAUGUCUGGCGGGGAGUUUGACUGGGGCGGUCGCCUCCGAAAGGGUAUCGGAGGCGCUCAAAGG
Molecule: ribosomal RNA, 2268 nt
Filed under: metagenome
Description: bacterial LSU rRNA
Rfam family: Bacterial large subunit ribosomal RNA
Source: RNAcentral